This 82-nucleotide non-coding RNA is filed under the name Neochlamydia sp. TUME1. The record is from RNAcentral. Lineage: Bacteria; Pseudomonadati; Chlamydiota; Chlamydiia; Parachlamydiales; Parachlamydiaceae.
GCUUUUGCCCGAGUGCCAACUGGGCAAAAAGCGCGCGCCCCUCCUCGCUAAGGUUCUUUUUAAAAUGCGCAAUUUCUUGAAU